AGCGAACGCUGGCGGCAGGCCUAACACAUGCAAGUCGAACGAUCCUUCGGGAUAGUGGCGGACGGGUGAGUAACACGUGGGAACGUGCCUUUUGGUUCGGAACAACUCAGGGAAACUUGAGCUAAUACCGAAUGUGCCCUUCGGGGAAAGGAUUUAUCGCCAUUAGAGCGGCCCGCGUCUGAUUAGCUAGUUGGUGAGGUAAAGGCUCACCAAGGCUACGAUCAGUAGCUGGUCNGAGAGGAUGAUCAGCCACAUUGGGACUGAGACACGGCCCAAACUCCUACGGGAGGCAGCAGUGGGGAAUCUUGCGCAAUGGGCGAAAGCCUGACGCAGCCAUGCCGCGUGAAUGAUGAAGGUCUUAGGAUUUGUAAAAUUCUUUCGACCGGGGACGAUAAUGACGGUACCGGAGAAGAAG
Molecule: ribosomal RNA, 415 nt
Filed under: uncultured bacterium
Lineage: Bacteria
Description: bacterial SSU rRNA
Rfam family: Bacterial small subunit ribosomal RNA
Source: RNAcentral